RNAcentral lists this ribosomal RNA (321 nucleotides) under Triticum aestivum (bread wheat). RNAcentral describes it as "partial small subunit ribosomal RNA". The record is from RNAcentral. Lineage: Eukaryota; Viridiplantae; Streptophyta; Magnoliopsida; Poales; Poaceae.
AUGCCCAAAGGGCCAAGGUGCAAGACUUCAAGGCAUCACCUGAGGAUACAAGACCUGCCUGAAGCUGUAACCAUGGGCAAAAGUCCAGAACAAAAGUUGCUAAGAGCCCUAGGGAAAUUGCUUGUCUGCUCAACUGUGCUUGCCCAACCUGAGGCCACAAGUGUUCCAGAAGUAGUAGAAGCAACUGGCCAGGGGAACACUUCCCAUUUCUCUGAUGUGGAGGAGCGGUACCAUGGAUUCAUGCGUGUUAGUGGGAAGACAACCAAUGCACUAGAAAUCAAUGUUCUAGAUGUGAGUGAGCGUUUUGCAAGGCAAGGGUAA